AAAAAUAAAGCAGUAUUACAAAUGUCUUUUUUAUAUAUAUAAUUGUCUGGUCUCAACAGGCCUGAACGGUACCAGUCAUGACGUCUGAGAUAACAGAGUAUACACAGAGAACAAACUGUCCAUUAAAGCAGAAACCCGACAUAAUAACACACAUAUCCGAAAAAGCAAAAGCUCACCCAUGAAAUAUUCAGAAGUCACACAUAGCACUUGCUAUUCUUUUUUAUAUAUAGUUUUCUGUUUUUUGGUUUUUUUGUAUGUCCAUCUACAUUUUUUUUAAUUUUUUUUGGUGUUUUCAUGCUCCCUUUUUCCGAACAAACUGGAUCUUCAUUCCUCAUCCGAAGUAGAAGAGUUGAGCAUGCCGUAACCAGUGAAAACUCGGCAUCUCUUUGUUGUGUAUCAAAAGGUAUCGCUUCUGAGUAAACUUCUCUCGGUCUGCUGCCCAAAAAUAGGCCCACUGCCAUUGCUGUGUAGUCCUCUGAAGGUAGGUGCUUGAUAGCCUAUACUAACUGAAGUUGCUGAUCUAGUAAGGAGAGCUUCACGAGGAUAGUAUGUCCCCUCAAGUCCAACAGAUUGAAGCUGAGACGCCAAUGAAUCAAUGUUGGAUGUCACGGGGGAACGUGAACCAGAAGAAUUUCCAUCAGAAUAAUUUGGUCUGGGAAGCAACCAAAUCUCCCAUCUUGCACGCCUCCGUAUUUUGUCACCCUAACAAAGCAGAAAAAAGUUAAGCCUUUCAAUGGGAACUGUGGUGUGACUGGUAGUAUGUCACCUAAGGAAUAUUUUGAUAAAGAGUGGUCAUAUUCAGGGUUCUUUGUCACCAAUGUUAAAUACAGAGCAAAAGGGAGCAUGCGGCGUUAUACGUGUACAACUAAGGAAAGCAGCGAGUGAACUGGAAUGUGACUGAUUCAAGUGACCUUCAUUACAAGUUCACAUAAGAAUUGCAGCAAUAAGCUGCCAAUUGUAGUAGUGUUUAAAAGUGCAAUCUGACAUGCCAAAUGGCGGCCUAGACUUGUAAUUAACAUAAUUUUUUGUUAAUCAAAGGAACUUUGCAAGUGAAGAUGUGGUGCUCUAUUCAUGUGUGAUGAAAUUUAAAAAAAGACAGCCUGGUGAAAUAUGAGAUCAUGUACUUCCUCCGUUCCUAAAUAUAGUCUUUUUAGAGAUUCCACUAUGCACUACAUAGUGAUGUAUAUUGCUCAAUUUACUCCGUAUGUAGUCCGUAGUGGAAUCUCUAAAGACUUAUAUUUAGGGAGGUAGUAGUAUAGAACCAUAAAAAUGCUCUAAGCAAUUGCUUCAAGAUCCCAUUGUGUGGUUGACCACCAAGGAUACUAAUAGAACUCUUCAGAUAAACAAGAAGGAUAAUCUGGACAUAAACAGGGCAUGCACUCUAAUAUUCUUACCCAGUUGUCUGUAACCAAAGGUGGACAUACAAGCUAUGCCCCGCUGCUAUUGCAUAAAGAGUGACAUAGUAGGCCAUAACUGAAGGAGGAGAUACAAACUUUUUGAAAUGAAUCUAAAUCAUGGUAUCUACAUUUGUGAAGAUUAUAGACCAAACUUAGCAUUGUUGAGUUCAGAAAGAGAAGCCAUUUUCUUUGGAACACUCCUACAACAUCUUCAGCAUGGCAAGAUAUGUUAGAAUAUCAUGUUCAACCCUUCUAAAGUUGUGCUUAAUCGGUUGUUUAUAAGUUAUUUAUAGCAUCACCAAUUAAGUUUAAUUUUAGAUUAAGUCAAAUCAUGGCAAAUGACAUCAGAAAAUUGAUUACCUGUACUUCCACCACAGUAGACUGCAUGACUGUAUCCAAGAUAAACUGUAAACUAUUAGUCAAGUUUUUGACUUGUCCAAUACAAUAUAGGAGCCUUUGGACCUGUGCAAAAUAAUUUAGUUGAGCAAUCUGUCCUUUUCUUGUAAUAAAGAAAACAAAAUAUUUUUUUGAAUACUCUGGAUAGAGUUGUCUCAUCUCAUUAUGCUCAGAAAAGAACACCACAUUUACUAGGCAAUGACCCUUUGAUAUACCAACAGAUGUAGCUUUCGGGAAAAAAAGGGUAUAGCAACAGAUGCACAAGCACAAUUUUUCACAGCUAUAAAUGCUUAAUGAAGUAUAGUGUUGAAUAAGGGCAAACCACAGUCAGCACAAUACACCUGGCAGCUACAAAACAAAAUAGAGUAGCAGAAAAGAGAAAUGGCUCCCUUUCGAACUUGAAAUCUCCAAAACUUUUAACGAGCCCUUUGUUAGCUCUACAAUGAAAAUAUGUGCAAGCCACUUUCAGAGUAGUUUGUGUAUUGUAAGUGACACAUGCUAGGGCUGAUAAGGAUCUCAGGACCAAGGAGUGUAGCAAUGAGGGUAUGGCUUCAAGGAGUGAGGCUAGAGCCAUGGCUCCGCAGAUGAGAGGGAGAAAAGGUUGGGGACAGGGAUUAUAACUUUACUAGUAGUUGAUAAUUCUCAUUGAUUGCAUAAUACACAUGGAUAGAAAAGUCUGACUUGGUGCUGGGAAAGAGGAUCUCUAGUUUCCUAACAAAUGGUAUUUGUACAUUCCUAACUAGAUCGAUCUCCUGCCUUGCAAAACUAUAACUAGUGAAAAGAAAAAUAAGAGCAUUCACUUGGCAAUCUUAUGGGCCAUACCACUGUCUUGCUUAUCUCAACUAUUAAAAAUAAUGCACAUCCAGGACAGAAUGACGCAAAAAUCCACAACAUUUAAACAAGCUAAUGACUAAUCCAGAAGUAUUCCAAGCAUAACAGACAAUCAAAAGUUUUCAGGUCAACAUGACAAGAAGAUGGAGUCAUGGAGAUGGUAUUCUGGAUACACAAUAGGAAAGGGCAAUCAUUCUCAACCUUGGGAAUAAAACUGGGAAUCUACAGAGACAAAAAUCUACUGAUGUCUGCACCAGUUUUUGCUAGCGUCAUGCGACUUUAAGUUUGUUGAGUACAAUAUGAGAAAGCUUAAUCACAUCAAACAAUCAUGCUGACAAGCGAAAAAAUGGAAAAAAUUGUUCUAAAAGAUAACCUGUUUUUCUAUGUCAAAUAUAAUUUUCAAGUAUAACGUACUUUUUGGGACAAAUGUACACAUAAUUUUCAAGUAUCCAAUCUAAAUAUAAUCAAAAAUACUAGUCAAAGUUUUGAGGUUUGACAUUGCUAAUGUCCAGAACGGCAGCUUUUAGGGAUCGUAAAAUUCUAGCAAAUAUAUGAGCAAGACCAAAACUGUUGAAAACAAGAAAAAAUGGAAAAAAAAUUGUUCUAAAAUAUAACUUGCUUUUCUAUGUCAACACUUUAAAGUUCAUAAAUGAGUUAAACUAAUUGUAGGUUCCUUUAAAGUGACAACCAUUGACUAUAUAUAUAGCAGCGACAUUCUUCCAAGCCUUGCAUAAAUACGAGUGACAGUCUUCAACUAUUUCCGUCCAGAAAAAAACAUUUUAACUGCAGACAGUUCACGACAGAGUGGCAGGAAUUGCCCGAAACAGAACUUGAUUGCAGGUGCUACCAAUGAAGUGUUGAUACAUAUGCACUCUACAAUAAACAAUAAUAUAAAGAUAUAUUGAAAACGGCUUGUGAAGUGGUGGGCCAGCAUAGAUGUUACAGGUGGAGCUACAAGGAACACAAACCGUCAGUCCAUGCAAAGUUCAUAUAAAUCUGUGGUGGCAAAAGAAGGUGAAUUCAAGUGCAACAUUACCAGAUCAUACAUAUUCAUAGCAGACCCCAGGAAUUUAGAUAUUAUUUUCCAACUAAAAAUUAAGGAAUUUUGAUAUUAUUUCAUGGAGAAGGUACUUCCUAUAUUCAUGUUAUCGCACUGGUGGUGCACACGACCAGGAGCAGUAGUCCUUUGAGAGACGGUGAAUUUUAACAUGUUCCACCCAAAAACAUGACCACCAGCGCUCCUCUAUUCUAGCAGAACCCAGGAAUUUAGAUGCUCCCUCCGUCCAGAAUUAUAAGAUGUUCCAACUUUUUUUCAUGUGUAUAGACGCGUUUUUUCACUCAUUUCAGUCAGUAUGUAGUCCAUAUUGAGAUAUCCAAAACAUCAUAUAUUUCGGAAGGGAGUAUUAUUUUCCAACUCAAAGAAAGGAAUUUAUAUAUUAUUUCAGAGACACUGUACUUCCUAUGUUCAUGUAACAGAACAUAGAUAUUCAUAGCAGACCCCAGGAAUUUAGAUAUUAUUUUUCAACUCAAUUUUUAUUUUUUACAUCAUGGCUCGCCCCCGCUCCGCUCGUCCCUCCUAGCUCCGCAUUGCCCGCAGCCCCGCCGCCGUUGAAUCCCCGUCGGUAGCCGACCCUCCCUUCCCAGCCCCGCCGCUGCUAUGCCAUGACGUCGUCCAACGCGGACCAAGCCGACCACGGAGCGACCCUCUUCGGUGAGCUCGUGUCCUCCGGUGACCGCUAGCUCGACUCGGGGAGCAAGUCCUCCGCGCGUUCCUACUGCAAGGUCGCCCGCCAUCCCUGCCGACGCACCCUGCCCCUGGCCCCGCGGCGCCACCCAGGCAGCCUGUCAGGAGCCGCCUUGGCCCCCGCUCCGAGGUGCACCGAGCCUCCGACGCCAACGCGGAUGGUUUCCGCCGUUGUCGCCCGACCAUGGUGGCCAGCCCCGCCCACUAGCGCACCGCCCGGCACGGACCCGGGCCGGGACCAAGGGGCCGACAACGACCCAGGCCAUGGCCACGGCCCUGGACGUGCACGUCGCCGCGGCCGCAAGUGUAGGCGCACGGAACCUCAGCCCACCGGCCGCCAACAGCAUGGCGGUGGACAACCUGGGAUGGCACGCCGGUCUCCAAACCUCCCGUGCGGAUGGUGUGGCCACGGCGACGGGAUGGCUUGUCCCGCCCGACACGUAUGGCCGCUCAGCCAAGGAACGACAUGCUAUCGUGGCCUAGUCAGCCUAGAGCCCACCAUCGUCGUCACCCUGCCAAAAAAGGAAAGGGUAAAAGGCAAGAUAAGCCCACUUUACCCAUGGGCCAGGAGGGCAGCGCUAACGCUACCCCUGAGGGCGCGAUAUCAGGCUUGGCAAGGACAGCUGGCAACGCACCAAUGGUUGCGGCUGCAUCGGAUCCGUUUGGAAUCUCUAUAAUCCGGAGGCCACCCACGAGCCUGAGACGAUCGCACGGGACCACCAGCCACCUCCCUUGAUGGGCUUGUCACGACCUGGCCGUUCUUAGCAAGGUCCCAGACUCGCAAGCAGGACGUGCCAGAACAGAUAGCCUCCAUGUCGGGGCAAAGUGGUGCUCACCCGAUUACUGAUGUCAAGAUGGGGCCGAUCCCAUGCACGAACAAGUCCACGACCCAAUCCGCGCGCGAAGAGAUGGAUCGUGAGGCGCACGAUCUUGACUCCCCUCUCUGGCCCGCACACCGCCGAUCCCACCCUCAAAAGGAUCACUACCGCCCUCCCCAGACCAGCGGGACCCGCAGGCACCCAUGCAGAAUUUGAUGGGCCCAAUCACUCCCGGGCCUGCUCCGGCUACCAGCUCCGGUCCCGAGCUGGCACGUCAGAACAUGCAUGGGUCUGGGCCAGGCCGCUUCGCUACCCCACCAUCAUCAUGCGCCGAUCACGCGGACGCGCAACAACCGCUCACUCCUGGACGCUAGGAGACUUCUUGGCCGCAGCCACCAAAGAGCUCAACGUGUUGCUGCCGGCGCCUAGGAAGAGACCACGCGACCCUCNNNNNNNNNNNNNNNNNNNNNNNNNNNNNNNNNNNNNNNNNNNNNNNNNNNNNNNNNNNNNNNNNNNNNNNNNNNNNNNNNNNNNNNNNNNNNNNNNNNNNNNNNNNNNNNNNNNNNNNNNNNNNNNNNNNNNNNNNNNNNNNNNNNNNNNNNNNNNNNNNNNNNNNNNNNNNNNNNNNNNNNNNNNNNNNNNNNNNNNNNNNNNNNNNNNNNNNNNNNNNNNNNNNNNNNNNNNNNCCACCACGCCACCCACCGCCGAAAGACGCGCACAAGUUCAGGUGCUUCGCACACUUGGCAUCGUUGGGACCAACCAGAAGAUCUCAGCCGUUGAGAUGAAGGCAUACAACAACUUGCUUGUGGCGCCCAUCCCGUUGUCAGUGCUAAGGGCCAUCGUUGCACUAGUCAAUCGCGAGAACCCAGCUUGCUUGCCGUCGCAGCAGACUGCCCCGGCGUGCGUUGACAUCGCGUGCGAGACUUAGGGCUCUCCUAGCAGUCCCUCCCCCGUUGGUCCAAUCUUUUAUGGAUCACGGCCUCAAGAUCGUCGUUUUGAAUGUGUGUCGGCUCAAGGCAUGCACGCGGUGCCUUGCUAUCCGCACACAGCUUGACACCACAGACGCGUCCAUUGUAUGCUUGCAAGAAACGAAGAUGGAGUUGCUUUGCUCGCCUUUGUCCUUGACACGCUAGGCUCGGAGUUUGACAACUACACGUACCUCCCGGCCCAGGGAACGUGCAACGAUAUAUUCUUCUCGCGUGGAAAAGCAGUGUCGUGACUAUCACGACCCCUUUGUUCACCGCCAACGCACUCUCGGCCAAGGUCGCCACAACCGCCGACACGCCGUGGUGGCUUAUGGUUGUCUACGGACCUCAGGAAGAAGUGGCCAAGGUCGCCUUCUUGCAGGAGCUGCGAGAGAUCCGAGCAAGCUGCCCCAGACCUUGGAUGCUUUGUGGUGACUUCAAUCUCAUCCUUUGCACCAAGGACAAGAGCACGAGCAAUCUCAAUAGACGCAUGAUGGCCAAAUUCCGCCGACUCGUCAACGACCUCGCACUCAAGGAGGUCUGCCUCAAUGGGCGCCAGUACACAUGGUCGAACGAGCAGUCACCGCUGACGUUGGUGCACCUUGGCCACGUGCUGUGCACCUCGAACAAGAAGACGCACAUGGUGAAUGCCACCUACGGUGCCUUGCGUCUGUCGUGUCGGACCACUGCUCGUUGUUGCUGGAUUGCGUCCCCGCGCCUAUGAUGCAUCGCAGAUUCCAUUUCGAGGACCACUGGUUGCGCAUGGACGGGUUCCACGAUAAAAUGACCACGACUUGGGGUUCCGCUCAUGACCCGGACCCAUUCCGCCGCUGAUGCUGCGCCUACAAGCCACAGCGCGCAGCUUGACGAGUUGGAGUGCCAAAGCAGUAGGCAACGUCAAGGCCAAGCUGGCUGUUUCACACGAGCUCAUUGCGCACUUUGACAAGGCCCUGGAAGAAUGCAUCCUCACGCCUCCUGAAGACUGACCGCGCAAACAACUGAAGGUUUCUUACCCUGGCCUCGCGUCCCUGGAGCAUAUGAUUGCAAGACAGCAUGCCCGCCUCGCCAACCUCAAAGACGAAGACGCCAACACCGCCUUCUUCCACCGACAAUGCUCAGCCUCUCCAUGCACGGCACGGUGCUCACCGAGCACGACGCAAUGGCGGGGGCUGCAUUAUCCGGCACUACGAUGCCCCGGCAUAGCGUAGAGCGCAAACACACGAUGGACCUGUCGCGAGCUCAUCGAGGGGAGCGAUCUCUCAGAUCUUGACGUGCCCUUCUGCCCAACGGAGAUCUGGGAAGCCAUAAAGCGCCUGCCCGCGCGCAAGUCGCCAGGGCCCGAAGGCUUUACUGCUGAAUUCUUGCGGGCGUGUUGGAGCACCAUCAAGUAGGAUUUCGUGGACGUGUUCCAGCAGCUAUUCGAGCUACGCAGCCGAGGCUUCUGCAAGUUAAACCACGCCCUCCUAAUGCUCAUGUCGAAGUGUGUCGACACCGAAGAGCUGCACGAUUAUUGCCCGAUUUGCUUAAUCUAUAUCAUGGCCAAGAUCUUCACCAAGGCACUAUCGUUGCUGCUUUCCCUAAAGCUGGAUCUCCUUGUCAGCCGCAAUCAAAACGUGUUCAUCAUCGAAAGAAGCCUCCAUGAUAACUUCGUGCUCGUCAGGCAAUCACUCCAGCUACUGCACCAACUAGGUGCCCCCAGAGUGAUGCUCAAGGAGAUCCAGAGCCAUCGUAAUAUGAGCGUUGACAAGGAGGGUUCGGGAACCGCUUCCUCGAGUGGGUUGCUAUCCUCUUGUCCUCCGCCAGCACUCGCGUCUUGAUGAAUGGUGUACCAGGCCCCCCUAUUUGGCACCAAGAAGGGCUUCAGCACGACAACUCCUUGUCCCUGCAACUAUUCGUCCUUCAGCGCGCCCAUGAAACUGACAUCCUUGCACAGUUGCAUCCCCAGAGGCUGAUUACAAAGAUAUCGCUCUACGCCGACGAUGUCAUGCUCUUCUGCCAUGCCACAGAGAGCGACGUGUCCGUGAUCAAAGAGAUCCUUGCCUUGUUUGGCAGAGCGUCCGGCCUAAAGGUAAACUACGCUAAGAGCUAUGCCACGGUCCUGCAUGGGGACCAGACCACCGAGUCCAUAUCCAGCUUGGGAUGCCCAGUCACCGAGCUCCCGAUCACCUACCUCGGCAUCCCCUUGACGACGCGCCGCCCCUCCGCUGCGCAACUGCAACCCCUCGUCGACAAGGUCGCCGACCGCCUGCCCAUUUGGAAGGCAUGGCUCAUGAACAAAGCCGGCAGACUGGCCCUUGUCAAGUUCAUCCUUUGUGCCAUCCCGGUCCACCAGUUGCUUGCGUUCGCUCCUCCGAAGAAAACCUUGCAACAGGUCGAGAAACUUCAGAGGGGAUUUCUCUGUUCUGGGCACGCUAUGGCCAAGGGAGGGCAUUGCCAUGUCACUGGCGUCAUGUUUGCCGCCCACACGAGCUUUGCGGCCUUGGAUUCCGCGACUUGGAGCGCACCAGGCUUGCGCUCAGAUUACGAUGGCUCUGGCUCUCGCGAACAGACCCAGCAUGCGCUUGGCAAGGGCUGGACCUCCAAUUCUCCAGCAACGAGCGCGUGCUUUUCUCCACAUCUACCUACACAACCAAUGGGAACGGAAUGAGCGCCUUAUUUUGGGAGGGGAUCGAUGGCUCAAUGGGCGGUCUAUUGGCGAGCUCAUGCCCGCACUCUACAGUUGCAUCCCAAAACGCUCAUGCAAGGCCAGAAUGGUGGCGAAAGGGCUCCAUGGCAAUGCCUGGGCUCGUGACAUUCACGGCGUUCUUGGCAUCCACGAGAUUAGCCAAUACCUGCAGCUUUGGCACAUCACGCAAAGCACUACACUCACUGACACCCUGACCAGCUGAUCUAGAAGUGGACUGCAAAUGGCAUCUACUCGGCGCAAUCCUGCUACGCGGCCACUUUCCAAGGCUCAAUGCACUGCUACUCAUGGAAGCUAAUUUGGAAGUCUUGGGCGCCGCCUCGGGUCAAAUUCUUUCACUGGCUGGCCAACCUCGACCGCUGCUUGACCGCGGAUUGUUUGGCUCGCCACGAUCUACAACAUCACCCACGCUGCCUACUCUGCGAUCUGGCGCCAGAAACGAUACGACACUUGCUGCUGCACUGCCCUUUCACAUGGCAGGCAUGGCAUGAGACGUUGCCUGGCUUCGCAUAUCGACGAAGAUCCCCAACCAAGAGCCCACACUCAUGGACUGGUGGUGGCACGCCAAGGCCAACAUGCCGCAGAUGCAGCGCAAGGUCCUGCAAUCCAUCGCGCUCCUUGUAGCAUAGGGAUAGUUGCGUCUUCGACAACACAACGCCCUCCCUAGACAUGCUAUUGGUUAGAAUCAAGGAGGAAGCCUGCCUCUGGGCAAAGGCCGAAGCCGCAGGACUUAAGAGUGGUUCUGCCCCCUUCAUGGGAUGUGCAUUAAGAGUCUGUAACCUGAUAACCCGAUCGUCCGCCCUCAGACGCUUGUAACUAACUUCCUUUUCAGCGAAAAGAAACGCAAAUCUUUUGCAUUUUCUUGAAAAAAAAAUAACUCAAAAAUAAAAGAAUUUAGAUAUUAUUUCAGGGACAAUGUACUUCCUAAAUUCAUGUUAUCGCACUGGUGGUAGUCCUUAGUGCGAAGGCAGCGCUCCUACUGGUUGCUAGAAAAAAAAUGCAAGUUAUACAUUUUUGUUUCGCUAUAUGGUCAUGUUAGUAACAUUACAACGCCAUUUUUUUUAUAAAAUGUUGCUAUCAAUGUCCAAGUGCGUCCAAUACAAACCACUACGUACAACUUUAAUUUUCAUUUCCUCUAUACUGAUCAUUUAUCCAAACAUUGCUACUACAGAACUAUGGGCUGUCAAGUACAGAAGCACGUGAUAAAUUUCUUUAGUUUGAAGGAACAAGUGUCAAUUCAUGUUCAAUUGCAUCCAAACCAGAAUUUAAAUUAUCUUGGCGUAAAUUUCCAUGUUCUGAUUUCAUUUGCAAGCAAUGAAUGCACACAUCCUAAGACAAUCUAUAUUUUUUAAUGCAGGGAGGUCAGAUAAUAAAACACAAGUGCCAGUGUUAGAAAAUGAUUUGCCAAAAGUAGAAGAAAGAAUCACAAGGUUCAGUGUUUGCAUUUGGACAAAAGAACUAGGACUUACAUAGCACCAUAAACCAAGCAUUGGAGCACACAAUGCGCCGAAUUAACUAACUAUCAAGGGUAGAGUCCGAAAGUGCACGAAUAAUUGCAUAGAUUGAGGCUCUUUAUUUGAUGUUACUUAGAAGUGUCAAUGCUAUUUGUGUAUGGCCAGAUUUCAUUUUAUUGAAAUCCACAACAAACGGCUACAUUUAAAGAGUACUUGAGUAUGUCUCUUCUUGUAACCCGAGAACUUACACCGAUCAGGUAACAGGGGAAGAAAGAAUCAUAAAAAAUUAACUUGGAACAGAUUUAUCUAAUUUAAGAUGUGCAGGAGCUGAAUUCCAAUGCAACUGUAGCUUCAUGUGGCAGAGUCUAAAUUUUCUAGGCAUGAUGUAAAGCUCUUUACCCAAGUUAUAUCAACCACACCAUAAGUAUACAUCCAAUGUCCAACUGAUAGCAAAUCAACCACACCAUUACUAAACAUCCAAUGUUAACUGAUACCAAAAUAGCAAACCUGCAAACUCAGUUUGAAUGGAUAAAAAAAUGCUAAAUGACAACUCUCCAUCUCCCACUCAAUCAGCAAGUAAACAACUAUAGAAGGUGACCAGAACAUUACUAGACUAUUGAUGACUUUCCGAAUAGACUGCUGGAUUAUAGUAGCAAAGCAAUAAAGAACUGGGGAUUUUUCUAAAAUAAAACCACCGUGUAAAACCAGCAAACUAACCUGGUUAAAGCCAGCAAUCAAGGAUAAUGGCACCCAACCACGGUCAUCCAUAUGUCUCCUCAAGAAUAUGUCCUUGCACAAAUUUUCAUCACUGCAAAAAAUGAGCAAGCGGGCAAGCGGCUCAAUAAAAUGACCUCAGUGGUGGCGUAGUGUUUUCUAUAAAUUAAGACGGAGAAAUACCUAAAGUAGUAGUCUAUCUGCACCAGUAGGUCCCUUUGAAGUUGUUCCAGUGGAGAAAUUAGCAUGGCUGGAGGGGUUGGUGGAGGAGGCGCAAAAGGAAGGGCUUGAAGACCAUCCGAAGGGGGCACGGCAAAAUAGUAAACAUGAGGUGCCAUCUCUGCUGUUUAAAAUAAAGCAAAUUAAGGUGACAUAACAAUUGCACAAAGCCAUGUUCUCACAAAGAGCAUGAAUAACAUACCAGGGAAUCCCAUAGGCGCCCCAUAAGGUGGUGUCUGUGGAGCAGCAGUUCCAUAAGGUGGUGUCUGUGGAGUGGCAGGGCCGGCAAAUGGUGGCGCAGGAGGUCCCGCCGCUAAAACAGCCAGAGGAGGAGGAGCCCUAAUGAACGAUGGCUGGUGAACUCGAUGCUGGUGCCCUGGCCCAUGUCCAUCUCUACGGCCGCCACCACGCCGUUGCCCAUCAAACCCACCAUGGUGCUCAUGACCAUGGCGACUACCACCUCCACCAUUACCCCUUCUGCUCCCCCCACCAUAACUGCCACCUCGGCCAUGAGGAUGGGAACCAAAACGGCCAUUUUGAUGAUGAACGCCGGUACCAUUGCUCCGGGCAUUAGGAGAGUAUCCUACAGAUUGCUCUGGAAUAAGAGCAUGCAUCUCUGGCCCGUCAUCCCCUGCAGGCAUCAUCAACACACGCCGGACUGGUGGACUACUGGUCACGUCGUCCUUAACAGUGGUAGCAUCCGGAGCGCCAGAGAUGUCCAAAGACACCGGUAAAAUCACUGUCUCCUGAGACCAUUCCCACAAACAAUCAAAACACAAUCUGGUCAGACCGUACAAAAUAUAAACACCAAAAAUCCUAAAUAGAUCAAACACUGAGACAGGAUCCAACUCCUAUAAUACUAAGUAAAUCGAACACUGAAAUAAACUAACAGCUCACAGUGGAAGGAGGAACGUACCAGUGCAUCCUGAUCAGGGGUAGCAUCCGGAGCGUCGGAGAUGUCCAAGGACACGGGCAAGAUAGCUGCCACCUGAGACCAUUCCAACAAUAGCAAAAGCAAUAUCAUCAGACGGUACGAAAUCUAACCGCAAUAAAUCAUAAAUGAAUCAAGCACUGAUACGAAAUCCAACUCCGAUAGUAAGUAAAUCAGAAACUGAGAUGAACUGACAACUCACAGUGGAAGGGGGAGGAGCGGCCUUAGGCGACGCCUUGGGCGGUGUGGGCGGCUGGGGAGAGGCCAGCCCAGGAAGCGCCGGCCAGGAGUCGGCGUCCAUGAUGGGGCUCCCGGGCGCCACCAGCACCGGCCCGUUCUCCGGGCGCUUCCACGCGGUGGCGGCCGCCCUCUUCGCCGCGACGGGACUACCGUGGGGCGGCGUCCCCGCGCCAGCGAGGGCAGCGUGCGGGUCGGCGGCAACGGAAGCCAUCCUCCACACCUCCUCUAUCCGAUCGGGCGGUGCAGGUUCCACGGGGCGAUGAAUCAAACGCGGAGGCGGUCGGCGGGGAUGACGAUGGCGGAUGGCGGCGGGAUCGGUUCUCAGUGGUACGGCAUGGGUCGAUCGGGGCCGAGAGUUCCAAAUAUUGCCGCGCCGGCGGCGAUCGGAUCGGGGAGGGGGAGCAGCGGGAGGACGAGGAGGAGGCGGUGGUGCGGCGCGGCGGCUCGCUGCUCUUCCCUACCCUUCCCUUCCCACGGGCGGAAUGGACGCGGAGGGGAUCGCCCCCUUGCCGGUGGGGCACAAAAGGGGAGCCGCACGCAGCCAGCCAGGUCCAUUCACACCGUCCCGGGCCGUCCGAUCCGGAUCGAUCGACGGCCGUGGUGCCUCGUGGGCCCCGGCGCCGCUCUAAAGUUGCUCGCGCUGGCGUCUGCUUGGCUGACGAGCGCGCUGGCGCCGCACCACCUGGCCCACCUGGCUGCGGCGCUGGUGGUUGCUGUGGGUGUGACACCUCGGGGGAGUGGGACGGCCGUCCGAUGGAACAUCGACGGCUGCGAGGUUGCGGAGGAUCCACGUCCGGGCAAAGCGUCGUCCGGAUUCGCAAAUCCACCGGCUGCGGACUGCACACGCCGCCCCCGCUACGGCUGUUGCUGGAUUUCAAUAAGUGCGCGUCUCUUCGUUAAACAGACGGAAUUAGCGGACGAGAAAUGUUACUCUGGUUGCGUGUAUCUUCGAUUCAGAUUCGCUGACUUGCCGUCUGGUCUCGUCGGUUGGAUUGAAAAGCGGCGGUUCAGAUCGGAUGCUACAGUGUGGUUAACAUUGAUGUGCUUAACAGUAAUUCCUAUGAACAGUGAUUUGGCAAAUCUCAGCCUACAAUUCUUGAUCCCGCGAGAAAGGCAGCGGGGACUUACUGUGGCUAAGUCAGUGAAUCCGGUCGCAACAUGAUACUUUCUAUUUCGACGAUAAACACACAAUAGGUUUAACGAUCUAUUUGUCAUGGACGUAAUGCCUAUACACUGAUAAUGCCAUGAAUAACGUCAUAAGUAUGUGUUUUUCUAUCAAUUGCCCAACAAUAAUUUAUCUACCAACUGUAUGCUAUGUUCUUGAGAGAGAUUCAUCUAGUGAAAACUAUCGCCUCCGGGUCUAUUCACCAUAUUUACUAAAAUCCUAAAAAGCCCACUGCAAUUUACUUUUUUUUAUUUUCUUUUGCAGUUUAUAUAUUUGUCACCAUCAGAAUUAAUCCUUGCAAUUAAGUACAAGGGGAUUGACAACCCUCUUGCCCGCGUUAGGUGCAAAUAUUUAGUUAGUGUGUGUAUGCACUAUCGACCUUUGUCUGCGUGAAUCUCCUAUUGGUUUGAUAAACCUUGGUUCUCUACUGAGGGAAAUACUAUCCGCUAUUAUGUUGCUUCUCCCUUCCUCUUCGAGAAAAACCCAAUGCAGCUCACAAGUAGCAGUACAUAAUUCCUAUUAGCAAGUAUAAGCACAACAUUCACUCUACCCAUAGGUUUUUUAAUUGUACAAUACACCAAGUGCAAUUUAAAGAACAUUCAUCCAUAUUAGUGAAACCUAGGACAACAUAUAAAGCUUUAGGCAUAGUUGAAACAUGAUACGUCUCCAACGUAUCUAUAAUUUUUUUAUUCUUCCAUGUUGUUAUACUAUCGUUAUUGGAUGUUUUAUAUUCAUUUUAUAGCAACUUUAUAUCAUUUUUUGGGACUAACCUAUUGCCAUAGUGCCCAGUGCCAGUUGCUGCUUUUUGCUUCGCAGAAUAUCCAUAUCAAACGGAGUCCACACGCACCGAAACUUUUUGAAGAUUUUUUUCUGCCUAGAAAAUAACCUGGGAGCCAAGGAAGUGCAGGAGGGAAGGCCUGUGGGGCCCACAAGGCACCAGGGCGCGCCAGUGGCCCCUAGUGUUGGGAAACGUAGCAUGCAAUUUCAAAAAACUUCCUACACUCACGCAAGAUCUAUCUAGGAGAUGCAUAGCAACGAGAGGGGGAGAGUGUGUCUACGUACCCUCGUAGACCAAAAGCGGAAGCGUUUGACAACACGGUAGAACUUCUUCUCGUUCCGACCGAUCAAGCACCGAACGUACGAUACCUCCGAGUUCUGCACACGUUCAGCUCGAUGACGUCUCUCGAACUCUUGAUCUAGCAAAGUGUCGAGGAAGUAGAUGAGUUCCGUCAGCACGACGGCGUGGUGACGAUGAUGGUGAUGUGAUCCGCUCAAGGCUUCGCCUAAGCACUACGAGAAUAUGACCGAGGGUGUAAUCUGUGGAGGGAGACGUCGCACACGGCUAAAAAUUGUUGGUGUGUGUUCUAGCGGUGCCUCCCCCACAUAUAUAGGUUGGAGGGGAGGAGAGGCAGCCAAGGGGGCGCCCCAAGUAGGAGGAAUCCUACUUGAGGUCCUCCCAAUUUGGCCUCCCCCUUUCCUUUUUACCGGAGGGGGGAAAGGGAAGAGAGGGGGAGGAAGGAAAGGGGGGCCGAACCCCCUCCUCCUUCUCCUAUUCGGCCUCCUUCCUUAGGGGCACACUACCCCUUUGUGGGUUGGUGUGCUCCCCUCCUAUGGCCCAUAAGGCCCAUUAAUCUCCCGGGGGNNNNNNNNNNNNNNNNNNNNNNNNNNNNNNNNNNNNNNNNNNNNNNNNNNNNNNNNNNNNNNNNNNNNNNNNNNNNNNNNNNNNNNNNNNNNNNNNNNNNNNNNNNNNNNNNNNNNNNNNNNNNNNNNNNNNNNNNNNNNNNNNNNNNNNNNNNNNNNNNNNNNNNNNNNNNNNNNNNNNNNNNNNNNNNNNNNNNNNNNNNNNNNNNNNNNNNNNNNNNNNNNNNNNNNNNNNNNNNNNGUACCCUGUACACCCUCAAACACUUUCUGUGUCCGAAUGUCAUAGUCAUAUAUAUGAAUCUUUUACCUCUCGACCAUUUCGAGACUCCUCGUCAUGUCCGUGAUCUCAUCCAGAACUCCGAAAAACAUUCGGUCACCAAAUCACAUAACUCAUAUAAUACAAAACCGUCAUCGAGCAUUAAGCGUGCGGACCCUACAGGUUCGAGAACUAUGUAGACAUGACCGAGACACCUCUCAAGUCAAUAACCAAUAGACACUAGUACAGCGACAUCCUAAACAAACGGUUUAAAACCCCUUUCCGCGACGACAUUUGGAACCGUCACCAAGUGAGCAUGGGCGAUAGGGGGGUCCUUUCCACACGACCCAGAAAUCGUCGAGGAUAGGCCCUCGUGGGACCCAGGCUGGGGCCGUGUGCGAUCGGGCGAUGCAUGAAAACCCAAUCAUUUCCAUAGGUAUGUACAUCCCACACGGUGAAUCCCAGAAAUCAUUUCCGUAGGUAUGUACAUCCCACACGGUGAAUCCCAGAAAUCAUUUCCGUAGGUAUGUACAUCCCACACGGUGAAUCCCAGAAAUCAUUUCCGUAGGUAUGUUCAUCCCACACGGUGAAUCCCAGAAAUCAUUUCCGUAGGUAUGUACAUCCCACACGGUGAAUCCCAGAAAAUCAUUUCCGUAGGUAUGUACAUCCCACACAGUUUUUUGUGU
This 16140-nucleotide long non-coding RNA is filed under the name Triticum aestivum (bread wheat). RNAcentral's name for it is "long non-coding RNA (TAES_LNC001090)". The record is from RNAcentral. Lineage: Eukaryota; Viridiplantae; Streptophyta; Magnoliopsida; Poales; Poaceae.